UGCAAGUCGAACGAUGAAGCCCUUCGGGGUGGAUUAGUGGCGAACGGGUGAGUAACACGUGGGCAAUCUGCCCUUCACUCUGGGACAAGCCUUGGAAACGAGGUCUAAUACCGGAUAACACUCCCAUUCUCCUGGAUGGGGGUUAAAAGCUCCGGCGGUGAAGGAUGAGCCCGCGGCCUAUCAGCUAGUUGGUGAGGUAAUGGCUCACCAAGGCGACGACGGGUAGCCGGCCUGAGAGGGCGACCGGCCACACUGGGACUGAGACACGGCCCAGACUCCUACGGGAGGCAGCAGUGGGGAAUAUUGCACAAUGGGCGAAAGCCUGAUGCAGCGACGCCGCGUGAGGGAUGACGGCCUUCGGGUUGUAAACCUCUUUCAGCAGGGAAGAAGCGAAAGUGACGGUACCUGCAGAAGAAGCGCCGGCUAACUACGUGCCAGCAGCCGCGGUAAUACGUAGGGCGCAAGCGUUGUCCGGAAUUAUUGGGCGUAAAGAGCUCGUAGGCGGCUUGUCACGUCGAUUGUGAAAGCUCGGGGCUUAACCCCGAGUCUGCAGUCGAUACGGGCUAGCUAGAGUGUGGUAGGGGAGAUCGGAAUUCCUGGUGUAGCGGUGAAAUGCGCAGAUAUCAGGAGGAACACCGGUGGCGAAGGCGGAUCUCUGGGCCAUUACUGACGCUGAGGAGCGAAAGCGUGGGGAGCGAACAGGAUUAGAUACCCUGGUAGUCCACGCCGU
This 730-nucleotide ribosomal RNA is filed under the name Streptomyces sp. YIM 65593. RNAcentral's name for it is "bacterial SSU rRNA". It matches the Rfam family "Bacterial small subunit ribosomal RNA", at positions 56 to 803 of the family's 1533-position model. Lineage: Bacteria; Bacillati; Actinomycetota; Actinomycetes; Kitasatosporales; Streptomycetaceae. The record is from RNAcentral. RNAcentral also lists the same sequence under 1 other name.